Molecule: transfer RNA, 73 nt
Filed under: Bos taurus (domestic cattle)
Lineage: Eukaryota; Metazoa; Chordata; Mammalia; Artiodactyla; Bovidae
Also listed under: 2 other names
Rfam family: tRNA
About the family: Transfer RNA (tRNA) molecules are approximately 80 nucleotides in length.
Source: Rfam by way of RNAcentral
UCCAUGGUGGUCCAGUGGCUAAGACUCUGCGCUUCCAAUGCAAGGAGCCCGGGUUCCAUCCCUGGUCAGGGAA